AUUUUUGGCCGGUGCUAGCUUGUGUGUCUUGUGUCGGGCGAGGGAGAGGGACGAUGUGCAUACGGGGUUGCAGUGCAGAGGCGCCGGUGGUUUCAAGUUGCAGGGCCGGGAGGUGAGGGAGCACAAUGACAACAACACUACAUCUCCCUUCUCUCUGUUAUCUUGUACUGAAUUGUCCCCUCUUUGUUGCAGAAAUUUCACGGCAACCAGGAGUAACAAUAUUUUUGGUUACUUGGGAAUACGAUGAUGUUCUGGUGACGUGGAACAUGCUGAGAUUUGGACUUCAAUCCUUGAUUGUGCACGGGCAUGCAUGCUUCACACCCAUGCUGCAAACAGAUUUUCAUUUUCGAAGAAAGUAAUAAUACUAUAACUACAAAAUUCAUGUUGCAGAUUUAUGCUCCAUGUAGUAUACUCGCCCAUUAUAGCUUUAUUCAGUUCACCGUUUGCACCAUCAUGUUCUGGAGUUUGAAAUGUACUCCCUUUUUCUGUAGGGAUUUCCGAAAUGAGUAGAAGACUAAUAACUUCUACGACAUCAAAGAUCUCUGAGAUUUUAGAGUAUGCACCAUAUUGAUUUACUUAUCGAUUUAUUCACACGUAUAUUGAGUUCACGAUGGAAAUAUAUACGAGUAUUUUCAUUGUAUGGAAUUUUUUAAUUACUACCAGAUGGAAUUUGGGAAUUAGUCUUACAAAGCUUCCAAAAUCACUAAAGUUAUACAGCUACUACAGAACUGGUUAAAAUUAGUGAUGUUCUAUAAUAUCUACAUGACUGAUUACAACACUGCUCAUGUGAUUUGGUACUUUACUAUAUGGUAGCUUUUUUACCCCUGAGGCGAGCUAAUGAUUGGGAACUUAUAGUGCCAAACUGACCUGCAUAUUCUGUCAAACAUUUUGUUGCAGUAUUUAGGAUCAGCAUGGAAGCUGAAUUUGUCACCAGAUGUUGUUUAAUUGUGUGCUACUAAAUUCAUUGGUUGACAAGCCUUAAAACUAUCUGUAAUAGCAUACCUUGUUUUCAACAUCAUUGGCUUGUUUAGAAUGCUAAACUGAAGAACUGAAGUACUGAACAAAACAAUACAGAAGUCAGUAAAAGUGCUUAAGAGGAAUUUUUGGUCUGCAGUCUGUACUAAAAAACUCUUGUGGUCAUUCGUUUUGACCUGAUCCAAGGCAAGGCCUAUCAGUGUUAACUCCCAGGCUGUAAAAAUUGAAUUGAUGAUUGCAUACUCUCGUGUGGAUUUUUUAUGUGCAUGCAUGGUAACCAUUUAUUUGUGUCUUUCAUCAUCAGAUCAAACGGCAAGUUUAUUGUCUGAUUAAUUAGAGGUUUCUAUUUUGGAAUGAAAUUUUCUGAAUUUUUGCUAUCCCGCUGGUCCUUACUAAUUCAGUAUAUACUAGAAUUUGAAGUUGUGAUCAUCCAUUGUUCUACUAUGGAGACUAGGAUAAAUGAUUGCAGUUGCAGGGCCGCCGCCGUUGCUGAACACAAACGGGGCUCGGAGCAGGCCAAACUCCGAGGUGGACCAGGCAACGGAUCGUGGAGAGGCGCCCAAGGAUGUUUUUUUUUUGCUUCUGUUCAUUGUGCCAUCCAAUUGGUUUAGACUUUUCACCAUUGCUAAUUACUAGGGGAGUAUGGGUGCCAGAGCUAGUAAGUGGCCUGCACGCUACGCUCUUGCCAAAUAAUUUGCAACCAUGCUUGCACUGAAUUUUUAUUUGUUUCCCGAUGUACCUUACAACAACUUCGUGAUGUAGCACUACUUUGCACUAGCAUGCACCUGCAUAUAUAAUAUGGAAAAUGACUGUCAUUUAGAAUUACUUCCAAGCUACAUCGUCUAUCUGAAUGUCAGCCCGAAACCACUGGUUGGCACACAUAAAAUUUUGGAAGUUGUAUGUAGUCCUCCUUCUUUGAGCCAAAAUUUAUGUCUAUGAUUGAUGAAUCAAUAUAAUUUUUUUGUUCAAGUUGGAUCCAAUAGAACAUGGCUUUGGUGGUAGUCAGUACAUGUAGAAUUUCUAUCCUUCUAUAUGUGUACUGAAACUAUUUAAGGUCACUAUGUAGUAAAUUCAUCAUACUAUGUGUCCACGGAAACCACUUAAGGUCAAAAGUGACAAGUAGAACCACAUGCAUUGUUUUGGGUAGUCUAAAUUGACUCUAUUACUUUUAUCUCAUAAAUCUAUGAUCGGUGCUUUUUUACGUGGAAUAUAUUCUGGAGCGGUUGCUGGUGUUAGGGAUGCAUUUAUAUAUGGGAUAAUUGCAUUAGCUAUUUCAUACAAUUGGCAUGCAAGGAUUUUUCUUCUUUAGUAUAACUCUCUAUAUUUUUAUUGUUUCUUUUAUUGUUUCCAGAAUGCAUUUCCACAAUAGAGAUGGGAAAUGGGAUACAUCGUUGUCGUCCUUCAGUGAGCAGCCGAGGAGGAGCUCCUCCAUGCUGAUGAUGUGGAAGACAGAUACCCUGUCCGUGACGCCUGGUUCUGGCCUCAUAUACAUGUAAGUACCCGUUCGUUCAUUAAUAGACAGCAUAUAAGAAAGUGUGCCAUCUGAAUUUGGAUCAUGCCAUGCACAAGACUAUUCAGAUUGUUUUCUUGAGGAAAGUGAGUAUUCAAGUUGGUUAGAUAAAAGUGUAUCAUCAUUUUUUCAUGAAAAAUAAUUUCAUAAUACCAUAUUGCAGUGACUUCCUAUGUCAUCAGCAAAUGCAGUGGAGAAGAAGCCGGUUCACCACAUGAUCAUUUAAUCUGUUAUUGUUUUUUAACUAUUCCCUGUUGCAUGUAUAAUCAGAAAAAAUAAAACUCCUCCUUUCGGCCCAUACUAGGAGUCUGGAAGUGAUACUUUUGUGAGGAGUGCUGGAACAUGACUGGAUCAAGCGAGACAAAGAACAAUGGAUGAAAGAAAGAGAUCAGAAAAGGGAUUAACUCCUGACCACCUCAUACAUAUAUACAUGUGUAAGAGCUU
This 2929-nucleotide long non-coding RNA is filed under the name Triticum aestivum (bread wheat). RNAcentral's name for it is "long non-coding RNA (TAES_LNC026626)". Lineage: Eukaryota; Viridiplantae; Streptophyta; Magnoliopsida; Poales; Poaceae. The record is from RNAcentral.